UAAAGAAAUGUUCAUCAGGGCCUCAGAAAGCAAGGCAGAGAACAGGUCCCUGAAAUUUACUAGCUUGCACCAAACCAUCAGAUAAAGAUAGGUUAAUAUUUGACAGAGAAAACUCUUCAAAAAGUGACAGUGAAAUACUCUUGAGAUGAAUCCAGGUAUUAAAAAGUUCAGGAAAAAAAAUUGUCUCUGGAAAAAAAAAAAGAAUCAAGGAGAGACCAGGUGCGGUGGCUCAUACCUGUAAUCCCAGCACUUUGGGAGGCCAAAGCAGGAAGGUCACUUGAGCCCAGGAGUUUGAGACCAGCCUUGGGCAACAUAGUGAGACCCCAUCUCUAAAAUUAUGUAAAUAAAAAUAUAAAAAUAAAAAAGAGAAAGCAAAUAACCCCAAAAUAACUAUUUUAUUUUUGUUUUUUAUUUUAUUAUUUUUAUUUUUUUUGAUACUGAGUCUCACUCUGUCACCCAGGUUGGAGUUGCAGUGAGCCGAGAUUGCUCACUGCACUUCACUUCACUCACUGCACUGCACUUCAGCCUGGGUGAUAAGAGCGAAACUCUGUCUCAA
RNAcentral lists this long non-coding RNA (556 nucleotides) under Pan troglodytes (chimpanzee). Its description in RNAcentral is "lincRNA". Lineage: Eukaryota; Metazoa; Chordata; Mammalia; Primates; Hominidae. The record is from RNAcentral.